Molecule: microRNA precursor, 68 nt
Organism: Scleropages formosus (Asian bonytongue)
Lineage: Eukaryota; Metazoa; Chordata; Actinopteri; Osteoglossiformes; Osteoglossidae
Rfam family: mir-8/mir-141/mir-200 microRNA precursor family
About the family: The bounds of the precursors are predicted based on conservation and base pairing and are not generally known.
Source: Rfam
AUCUUCAUCUUACCUGGCAGCAUUGGAUGUCAUGACUCCCUCUAAUACUGCCUGGUAAUGAUGAUAGU